Molecule: unclassified non-coding RNA, 149 nt
Organism: Papio anubis (olive baboon)
Lineage: Eukaryota; Metazoa; Chordata; Mammalia; Primates; Cercopithecidae
Rfam family: Metazoan signal recognition particle RNA
About the family: The signal recognition particle (SRP) is a universally conserved ribonucleoprotein. It is involved in the co-translational targeting of proteins to membranes.
Source: Ensembl
GCUGGGCAUGGUGGUGCGCGCCUGUAAUCCCAGCUACUUUGGGAGGCUGAGGUGGAAGAAUUGCUUGAACCUGGGAAGGGGAGGUUGCAGUUAGCAGAGAUCAUGCUACUGCACUCUAGCCUAGGUGACAGAGCAAUAUUCUGUCUCAA